CGCCUAUAGUCGGGGAGCCACAAGGCUGAGAUCGCCCCCACUGCCCAGCGGCAGCGGCGCGAGACCCGUAGAACCUGAUUCAGUUAGCACUGACGUAGGGAACUAUUUACGUUUCGCG
RNAcentral lists this non-coding RNA (118 nucleotides) under Vibrio furnissii. Its description in RNAcentral is "TPP sequence". It matches the Rfam family "TPP riboswitch aptamer (THI element)". From Rfam's summary of the family: Vitamin B(1) in its active form thiamin pyrophosphate (TPP) is an essential coenzyme that is synthesised by coupling of pyrimidine and thiazole moieties in bacteria. The previously detected thiamin-regulatory element, thi box was extended, resulting in a new, highly conserved RNA secondary structure, the THI element, which is widely distributed in eubacteria and also occurs in some archaea. Analysis of operon structures identified a large number of new candidate thiamin-regulated genes, mostly transporters, in various prokaryotic organisms. Lineage: Bacteria; Pseudomonadati; Pseudomonadota; Gammaproteobacteria; Vibrionales; Vibrionaceae. The record is from RNAcentral.